GGUACGGUGGUCUAGCGGUUAGAACACUGGCCUUGUAAUCCUGGGGUCUCGGGUUCGAUUCCCGGCGGUGCCC
Molecule: transfer RNA, 73 nt
Filed under: Zootermopsis nevadensis
Lineage: Eukaryota; Metazoa; Arthropoda; Insecta; Blattodea; Termopsidae
Rfam family: tRNA
About the family: Transfer RNA (tRNA) molecules are approximately 80 nucleotides in length. Their secondary structure includes four short double-helical elements and three loops (D, anti-codon, and T loops).
Source: Rfam by way of RNAcentral